This 561-nucleotide ribosomal RNA is filed under the name Pycnococcus provasolii. RNAcentral's name for it is "partial Bacterial large subunit ribosomal RNA". It matches the Rfam family "Bacterial large subunit ribosomal RNA", at positions 1264 to 1829 of the family's 2925-position model. Lineage: Eukaryota; Viridiplantae; Chlorophyta; Pseudoscourfieldiophyceae; Pseudoscourfieldiales; Pycnococcaceae. The record is from RNAcentral.
UGAGCCGUCGUGGAGGCAUCGGAAGUGCGAAUGCUGACAUGAGUAACGAUAAUGCGGGUGAAAAACCCGCACGCCGAAAGCCCAAGGUUUCCUUGCGCAACGUUAAUCGACGCAGGGUUAGUCGGCCCCUAAGGCGAGGGCGAAAGCCGUAGUCGAUGGGAAGCAGGUUAAUAUUCCUGCACCUCGCGUAAGUGCGAUGGAGGGACGGAGAAGGUUAGGCAAGCCAGGCGUUGGUUGUCCUGGUGAGAGAACUGAGGCAGAACCCUUUGGCAAAUCCGGGGGUUUAAUGUUGAGGUUAAGGACCGGUCCAUUAGGACUAGGUUGCCGAUAUCACGCUUCCAGGAAAAGCUCCUAAGCUUCAGCUUACGCAGACCGUACCGUAAACCGACACAGGUGGGUAGGAUGAGAAUUCUCAGGCGCUUGAGAGAACUCGGGUGAAGGAACUAGGCAAAAUAGCACCGUAACUUCGGGAGAAGGUGCGCCUCUUCUGGUUAAUAGCUGGGGGAGGCCGAAGUGACCAGGCCGCUGCGACUGUUUAUCAAAAACACAGCACUCUGCAAA